GAUGAACGCUAGCUACAGGCUUAACACAUGCAAGUCGAGGGGAAACGACAUCGAAAGCUUGCUUUUGAUGGGCGUCGACCGGCGCACGGGUGAGUAACGCGUAUCCAACCUGCCCACCACUUGGGGAUAACCUUGCGAAAGUAAGACUAAUACCCAAUGACGUCUCUAGAAGACAUCUGAAAGAGAUUAAAGAUUUAUCGGUGAUGGAUGGGGAUGCGUCUGAUUAGCUUGUUGGCGGGGUAACGGCCCACCAAGGCGACGAUCAGUAGGGGUUCUGAGAGGAAGGUCCCCCACAUUGGAACUGAGACACGGUCCAAACUCCUACGGGAGGCAGCAGUGAGGAAUAUUGGUCAAUGGACGAGAGUCUGAACCAGCCAAGUAGCGUGCAGGAUGACGGCCCUAUGGGUUGUAAACCGCUUUUAUAAGGGAAUAAAGUGAGUCUCGUGAGACUUUUUGCAUGUACCUUAUGAAUAAGGACCGGCUAAUUCCGUG
This 492-nucleotide ribosomal RNA is filed under the name uncultured bacterium. Its description in RNAcentral is "partial 16S ribosomal RNA". It matches the Rfam family "Bacterial small subunit ribosomal RNA", at positions 28 to 507 of the family's 1533-position model. The record is from RNAcentral.